CCACCCAAGGCACGAUCAGUAGGGGUUCUGAGAGGAAGGUCCCCCACAUUGGAACUGAGACACGGUCCAAACUCCUACGGGAGGCAGCAGUGAGGAAUAUUGGUCAAUGGGCGAGAGCCUGAACCAGCCAAGUAGCGUGCAGGAUGACGGCCCUAUGGGUUGUAAACUGCUUUUAUAUGGGAAUAAAGUGAGGGGACGUGUCCCUUAUUGCAUGUACCAUACGAAUAAGGACCGGCUAAUUCCGUGCCAGCAGCCGCGGUAAU
This 263-nucleotide ribosomal RNA is filed under the name uncultured Prevotella sp. RNAcentral describes it as "partial 16S ribosomal RNA". It matches the Rfam family "Bacterial small subunit ribosomal RNA", at positions 265 to 524 of the family's 1533-position model. Lineage: Bacteria; Pseudomonadati; Bacteroidota; Bacteroidia; Bacteroidales; Prevotellaceae. The record is from RNAcentral.